RNAcentral lists this ribosomal RNA (229 nucleotides) under uncultured bacterium. Its description in RNAcentral is "partial 16S ribosomal RNA". It matches the Rfam family "Bacterial small subunit ribosomal RNA", at positions 568 to 796 of the family's 1533-position model. The record is from RNAcentral.
UGCGCAGGCGGAUCGAUAAGUCAGUGGUGAAAUCCUACAGCUUAACUGUAGAACUGCCAUUGAUACUGUCAAUCUCGAGUAUAGUUGAAGUGGGCGGAAUGUAUCAUGUAGCGGUGAAAUGCAUAGAUAUGAUACAGAACACCGAUAGCGAAGGCAGCUCACUAAACUAUUACUGACGCUCAGGCACGAAAGCGUGGGGAGCAAACAGGAUUAGAUACCCUGGUAGUCC